RNAcentral lists this ribosomal RNA (506 nucleotides) under uncultured bacterium. RNAcentral's name for it is "bacterial SSU rRNA". It matches the Rfam family "Bacterial small subunit ribosomal RNA", at positions 1001 to 1517 of the family's 1533-position model. The record is from RNAcentral.
UUGAAAGGAGGUAGCUCUACGGAGCCUGUGUCGAGGUGCUGCAUGGUUGUCGUCAGCUCGUGCCGUGAGGUGUCGGCUUAAGUGCCAUAACGAGCGCAACCCCCAUCGCCAGUUACCAGCAAGUCAAGUUGGGGACUCUGGCGAGACUGCCGGCGCAAGCUGUGAGGAAGGCGGGGAUGACGUCAAAUCAGCACGGCCCUUACGUCCGGGGCGACACACGUGUUACAAUGGCAGGUACAGAGAGAAGCAAUGCGGCGACGCAAAGCGGAACUUGAAAGCCUGUCUCAGUUCGGAUUGGAGUCUGCAACUCGACUCCAUGAAGCUGGAUUCGCUAGUAAUCGCGCAUCAGCCAUGGCGCGGUGAAUACGUUCCCGGGCCUUGUACACACCGCCCGUCAAGCCAUGGAAGCCGGGAGUGCCUGAAGUGUGCAACCGCAAGGAGCGCCCUAAGGUAAAACUGGUGACUGGGGCUAAGUCGUAACAAGGUAGCCGUACCGGAAGGUGCGG